CAAUAGCGAAUCUUAAUGUUGUUGCUAUUAAAAAGCUCGUAGUCGAAUUUCUGGCCGGGAAAAGCCGAUCUAACCGCGCUGCUCCUAGGUCAUCCGUCUUUGAGGGCAUGUAGGUAUUUGUUUAUCUCGUGUCGGAUCUGGCAUUUUACUUUGAAAAAUCAGAGUGUUUCAGGCAGGCUUUCGCUUGAAUACACCAGCAUGGAAUAAUGGAAUAGGGCUAGACUUACUUCUUGGUUCGUUUGACUAGCAAUGAUUAAUAGGGACAGUUGGGGGCAUUCGUACUGGACAGCUAGAGGUGAAAUUCUACGAUUUGUCCAAGACGAACUAAUGCGAAGGCAUCUGCCAAGGAUGUUUUCAUUGAUCAAGAACGAAAGUCAGGGUAUCGAAGAUGAUUAGAUACCAU
This 403-nucleotide ribosomal RNA is filed under the name uncultured eukaryote. Its description in RNAcentral is "bacterial SSU rRNA". It matches the Rfam family "Eukaryotic small subunit ribosomal RNA", at positions 592 to 1018 of the family's 1831-position model. The record is from RNAcentral.